This 243-nucleotide unclassified non-coding RNA is filed under the name Hevea brasiliensis (rubber tree). The record is from RNAcentral. Lineage: Eukaryota; Viridiplantae; Streptophyta; Magnoliopsida; Malpighiales; Euphorbiaceae.
UGAUAGUUUUACUGUAGAGAGAUUUGAAGGAAAUGAAGUAGAAAAUUCGUAUGUUGAAAGGGGUUUUGAAGAAGAGAGGAAGACAAGCAAGCUUGAUGAACAUGCUGGUUUUGUUGACUUUGUUCCGGUAAUCCAUGAGAGCAAUUGUGAAAUUCAGUUUGAGAAGGGCGAUGUUAAGGAGUUUGAGAAGGUCGGUAUUGAGGAAUUUGAGAAGGGUGGAGUUGUGGAGUUUGAGAAGGGUGA